UUCAUCAAAGUCAGAACAUUACAAUGAGCGUUCAUAAUUUUUCAAUAGACAGCUAAAUGUCAAAUGAUUAACUCGCUAGGAAAUUAAAUAGCCACAAAGAUAAAUCAUUUAUUUAAGAGGCUAGCCACUGCAAAUCCGUGAAGAUCAUAACUAUAUUUGGCAAUUUUUAGAGGAAAAAUCAUAAAAUAAAUCGAAAAAUUGUUGAAAUUUAUUUAUUGUAAAUACCUUGAGGAAUACAAUCGUAUUUUUGCAAUAAAAUAACUGCACUGCAACGAUAAGAAUUUUUGAGGUGAUCAUCUAACCGACGUGCAUAAUUACGAGCACAUAUGGUUAAUUACGGUAUAUUCGGUACAUUACGAAAUGGUGAAUAUUUAAAAAAACAUCUGGUUUCUAAUCACGAAAGUAUUGUGUGAUAAUGUCGAUAACAAAGCAAGUUUUUGAUGUAUAGGAAAAUCCUUCAAAAAUUGCCAAAGAGAAUGAGAACAACUUCAGCAAAGUUCUACGUUGGGAAUACAGGUGACAUCUUUUAAUAUCAUACACGUGCGCACAUUCGCGAAAAAUGUGGAUCUUGUGAGAGGAUUAUGUAAGUGCUAUUUGAAAAAAUCACGGGCAGUCUCGUGAAUAUUCUGCUUAAUUGGUAUUGUGAAUCUGAGGGGGAUGCUACACGUGUAUCUUUUCUACUUUGAUGCUAGAGAUCUAAUAACUUUUGGGGUUCGAUUGCCGCAAUGCAGUCAACUAUUUGCCCUUAUCUGAUAACAAAUAUCAGUGCAUAGUAAUUUGAAUUUUAAUGGUCUGUCACGGAAUGUAUGAAUAUUUUGUUGUAUUUUCAGGCACGAAAACUUAUACAGUAAUUUUACCAAAGUAAACAGUAUUAUGCAUGUAACAGGCAAUUAUUAAUUAU
This is a long non-coding RNA of Bombus pyrosoma, 901 nucleotides long. RefSeq lists it as uncharacterized. NCBI's taxonomy places the organism in Eukaryota, Metazoa, Arthropoda, Insecta, Hymenoptera, Apidae. The transcript is spliced from 3 exons. The record is from RefSeq and is a predicted model, not a curated record.